AGCGUACACGGUGGAUGCCCUGGCAGUCAGAGGCGAUGAAGGACGUGCUAAUCUGCGAUAAGCGUCGGUAAGGUGAUAUGAACCGUUAUAACCGGCGAUUUCCGAAUGGGGAAACCCAGUGUGUUUCGACACACUAUCAUUAACUGAAUCCAUAGGUUAAUGAGGCGAACCGGGGGAACUGAAACAUCUAAGUACCCCGAGGAAAAGAAAUCAACCGAGAUUCCCCCAGUAGCGGCGAGCGAACGGGGAGCAGCCCAGAGCCUGAAUCAGUGUGUGUGUUAGUGGAAGCGUCUGGAAAGGCGCGCGAUACAGGGUGACAGCCCCGUACACAAAAAUGCACAUGCUGUGAGCUCGAUGAGUAGGGCGGGACACGUGGUAUCCUGUCUGAAUAUGGGGGGACCAUCCUCCAAGGCUAAAUACUCCUGACUGACCGAUAGUGAACCAGUACCGUGAGGGAAAGGCGAAAAGAACCCCGGCGAGGGGAGUGAAAAAGAACCUGAAACCGUGUACGUACAAGCAGUGGGAGCACGCUUAGGCGUGUGACUGCGUACCUUUUGUAUAAUGGGUCAGCGACUUAUAUUCUGUAGCAAGGUUAACCGAAUAGGGGAGCCGAAGGGAAACCGAGUCUUAACUGGGCGUUAAGUUGCAGGGUAUAGACCCGAAACCCGGUGAUCUAGCCAUGGGCAGGUUGAAGGUUGGGUAACACUAACUGGAGGACCGAACCGACUAAUGUUGAAAAAUUAGCGGAUGACUUGUGGCUGGGGGUGAAAGGCCAAUCAAACCGGGAGAUAGCUGGUUCUCCCCGAAAGCUAUUUAGGUAGCGCCUCGUGAAUUCAUCUCCGGGGGUAGAGCACUGUUUCGGCAAGGGGGUCAUCCCGACUUACCAACCCGAUGCAAACUGCGAAUACCGGAGAAUGUUAUCACGGGAGACACACGGCGGGUGCUAACGUCCGUCGUGAAGAGGGAAACAACCCAGACCGCCAGCUAAGGUCCCAAAGUCAUGGUUAAGUGGGAAACGAUGUGGGAAGGCCCAGACAGCCAGGAUGUUGGCUUAGAAGCAGCCAUCAUUUAAAGAAAGCGUAAUAGCUCACUGGUCGAGUCGGCCUGCGCGGAAGAUGUAACGGGGCUAAACCAUGCACCGAAGCUGCGGCAGCGACGCUGAUGCGUUGUUGGGUAGGGGAGCGUUCUGUAAGCCUGCGAAGGUGUGCUGUGAGGCAUGCUGGAGGUAUCAGAAGUGCGAAUGCUGACAUAAGUAACGAUAAAGCGGGUGAAAAGCCCGCUCGCCGGAAGACCAAGGGUUCCUGUCCAACGUUAAUCGGGGCAGGGUGAGUCGACCCCUAAGGCGAGGCCGAAAGGCGUAGUCGAUGGGAAACAGGUUAAUAUUCCUGUACUUGGUGUUACUGCGAAGGGGGGACGGAGAAGGCUAUGUUGGCCGGGCGACGGUUGUCCCGGUUUAAGCGUGUAGGCUGGUUUUCCAGGCAAAUCCGGAAAAUCAAGGCUGAGGCGUGAUGACGAGGCACUACGGUGCUGAAGCAACAAAUGCCCUGCUUCCAGGAAAAGCCUCUAAGCAUCAGGUAACAUCAAAUCGUACCCCAAACCGACACAGGUGGUCAGGUAGAGAAUACCAAGGCGCUUGAGAGAACUCGGGUGAAGGAACUAGGCAAAAUGGUGCCGUAACUUCGGGAGAAGGCACGCUGAUAUGUAGGUGAAGUCCCUCGCGGAUGGAGCUGAAAUCAGUCGAAGAUACCAGCUGGCUGCAACUGUUUAUUAAAAACACAGCACUGUGCAAACACGAAAGUGGACGUAUACGGUGUGACGCCUGCCCGGUGCCGGAAGGUUAAUUGAUGGGGUUAGCGCAAGCGAAGCUCUUGAUCGAAGCCCCGGUAAACGGCGGCCGUAACUAUAACGGUCCUAAGGUAGCGAAAUUCCUUGUCGGGUAAGUUCCGACCUGCACGAAUGGCGUAAUGAUGGCCAGGCUGUCUCCACCCGAGACUCAGUGAAAUUGAACUCGCUGUGAAGAUGCAGUGUACCCGCGGCAAGACGGAAAGACCCCGUGAACCUUUACUAUAGCUUGACACUGAACAUUGAGCCUUGAUGUGUAGGAUAGGUGGGAGGCUUUGAAGUGUGGACGCCAGUCUGCAUGGAGCCGACCUUGAAAUACCACCCUUUAAUGUUUGAUGUUCUAACGUUGACCCGUGAUCCGGGUUGCGGACAGUGUCUGGUGGGUAGUUUGACUGGGGCGGUCUCCUCCUAAAGAGUAACGGAGGAGCACGAAGGUUGGCUAAUCCUGGUCGGACAUCAGGAGGUUAGUGCAAUGGCAUAAGCCAGCUUGACUGCGAGCGUGACGGCGCGAGCAGGUGCGAAAGCAGGUCAUAGUGAUCCGGUGGUUCUGAAUGGAAGGGCCAUCGCUCAACGGAUAAAAGGUACUCCGGGGAUAACAGGCUGAUACCGCCCAAGAGUUCAUAUCGACGGCGGUGUUUGGCACCUCGAUGUCGGCUCAUC
This 2502-nucleotide ribosomal RNA is filed under the name human gut metagenome. RNAcentral's name for it is "bacterial LSU rRNA". It matches the Rfam family "Bacterial large subunit ribosomal RNA", at positions 14 to 2541 of the family's 2925-position model. The record is from RNAcentral.